This 106-nucleotide non-coding RNA is filed under the name Chloropicon mariensis. The record is from RNAcentral. Lineage: Eukaryota; Viridiplantae; Chlorophyta; Chloropicophyceae; Chloropicales; Chloropicaceae.
UUGCUGGGGUCGUGGAGGCCGUGGGCGAGAGAGCCGGAGACCGUUUCUCAGUCGGAGACGAGGUGUUCGGGACGACAGAUCUCUCUCUCGGUGCGUUUGCCGAGCA